AAGUCGUAACAAGGUUUCCGUAGGUGAACCUGCGGAAGGAUCAUUAGAAAUGCCGAGCCUUCGGGUGAGGUCUACUCUAUACCACACACACCGUGCACCGCCUUUGGGCUUUCAAACAUGAAUGUGAUGAACGUUGAAUACAUAACACAAAUACAACUUUCAACAACGGAUCUCUUGGCUCUCGCAUCGAUGAAGAACGCAGCGAAAUGCGAAAAGUAAUGUGAAUUGCAGAAUUCAGUGAAUCAUCGAAUCUUUGAACGCACCUUGCACCCUUUGGUAUUCCGAAGGGUAUGCCUGUCUGAGUGUCAUUAGACCAUCUCCCCCUCGGUUUUCUGAACCGCUGUUGGUGGAGCUUUGGGGGUCUUGCCCUUUACCGGGCUCCCCUUGAACGCCUAAGUGAUACGAUAAGUCAACGUCACUCUAAUGUAACAACACUCUUGCUCUGACCUCAGAUCAGGUAGGACUACCCGCUGAACUUAA
This 480-nucleotide ribosomal RNA is filed under the name uncultured fungus. RNAcentral describes it as "eukaryotic LSU rRNA". The stretch from base 155 to 308 matches the Rfam family "5.8S ribosomal RNA". The record is from RNAcentral. Lineage: Eukaryota; Fungi.